This 614-nucleotide long non-coding RNA is filed under the name Homo sapiens (human). RNAcentral's name for it is "non-protein coding lnc-FAM57A-5:2". The record is from RNAcentral. Lineage: Eukaryota; Metazoa; Chordata; Mammalia; Primates; Hominidae.
GUAGGGUCUGGCCUCCAGCAGGACGCCCGGAUGAAAGUCAGCCCUGCGGCGUCGCCAACCGCAGCCCACAGCCUCCGCGGGCAGCGCAGCGGCGACCUCUCAGCUCCCGGGGCCCCCUCGGUCAGUGGCAGCGGGUGUCCCCGGCCACGGGGGCGACGUGAUCCCAGCUGGCGAGUGGCGAUGUCGCCAAGGACAUUCGUAGGACGGGACAGUGCCCACUCGAUAGAAAUUCCCCGUGCGCCGGGCUCUGCGCAGAAGCUUUUCGAGAUGACGCAGCGCCCUGGAGCUGGGGAGACGUUUACUGAGGUUGAAUAUCCGGGAUCUAAGUCCUGAAUAGUCCACCAUUGAUAAGUUGUGUGACUUGGAACAAAUUACUACCCCGCGUCGAUGUGGAGAGGAUUAAACAUUAACAGCGCGAUGUAAAUUCAAGCUGGUAAUACAGGAAAUAGUGAGGUGCCCAGCCCUUACCCCCACAAAGGAACAAAUAAGCCAGAUCACCGAUCACCCUGUGAAACCACCUUUCCUGCAGACACUGAAAAGAAGGAGGGAAUUGCAGCCCAAGGAGGACCCGCUCCACCAGGUGAACCGGGAAACUCCAGGAGGGAAACGCGUUG